GUCUAUGGCCAUGCCGCCCUAAACAAGCCUGAUUCCGUCUGAUCUCGGAAGCUAAGCAGGCUCAGGCCUGGUCCGUACUUGGAUGGAAGACCACCUAGGAAGACCAGGUGCUAUAGGCA
RNAcentral lists this ribosomal RNA (119 nucleotides) under Pteropus alecto (black flying fox). Lineage: Eukaryota; Metazoa; Chordata; Mammalia; Chiroptera; Pteropodidae. The record is from RNAcentral.